This 337-nucleotide long non-coding RNA is filed under the name Rattus norvegicus (Norway rat). RNAcentral's name for it is "long non-coding RNA NONRATT030279". Lineage: Eukaryota; Metazoa; Chordata; Mammalia; Rodentia; Muridae. The record is from RNAcentral.
GGAGACAAGGGGCUGCCUGGUUCAUCUGGUGAAAAGGGGAGUCCUGGAAGAAGGGGUGACAAAGGACCCAAAGGAGACAAAGGCGAGAGAGGAGAUGUGGGGAUUCGAGGUGACCCGGGUGACUCAGGACGGGACAGCCAGCAGAGAGGACCCAAAGGAGAGACGGGCGACAUUGGCCCCAUGGGUCUCCCAGGCAGAGACGGUAUCCCCGGCAGUCCAGGAGACCCUGGGAAAGACGGUGGCUUUGGCCGAAGGGGGCCUGCAGGAGCUAAGGGCAACAGAGGCGGUCCUGGCCAGCCAGGCUUUGAAGGAGAGCAGGGUACCAGAGGUUCACAGG